UACAGAGGGUGCAAACGUUGUUCGGAAUUACUGGGCGUAAAGCGUGUGUAGGCGGCCUCGUAGGUCGGAUGUGAAAGCUCUCGGCUCAACCGGGAAAGUGCAUUCGAAACCACAAGGCUUGAGUGUCGGAGAGGAAGGCGGAAUUGUCGGUGUAGAGGUGAAAUUCGUAGAUAUCGACAGGAACACCUGCGGCGAAAGCGGCCUUCUGGACGAACACUGACGCUGAGACGA
Molecule: ribosomal RNA, 231 nt
Filed under: uncultured bacterium
Lineage: Bacteria
Description: partial 16S ribosomal RNA
Rfam family: Bacterial small subunit ribosomal RNA
Source: RNAcentral